GGCUCUUGUCUCAUUAUACUGAUCUAUAGCAUAGUUUUGAAUCAGUAGAGAUCAUAGGUAUAGUCUUGACCACUUUCUUAUAAGGUCUUAGGCAUUUUUUUUUUUUUGAAACUGAAGGAACUUGUUUCCUUCUUGCCCAUUGUUUCUAUUUGGAAACCAUUUAUAACUGAAUGGGUCACAUAUCAUUUUGGUGUGUAUAAU
Molecule: long non-coding RNA, 201 nt
Filed under: Brassica rapa (field mustard)
Lineage: Eukaryota; Viridiplantae; Streptophyta; Magnoliopsida; Brassicales; Brassicaceae
Description: long non-coding RNA (BRAP_LNC008078)
Source: RNAcentral